UGUGGUGUAGUGGUCAGCACACUCAGCCUGUAUCUGAGAGGUCUGUGGUUCGAGUCUCAGCA
Molecule: transfer RNA, 62 nt
Filed under: Stegodyphus mimosarum
Lineage: Eukaryota; Metazoa; Arthropoda; Arachnida; Araneae; Eresidae
Rfam family: tRNA
About the family: Transfer RNA (tRNA) molecules are approximately 80 nucleotides in length. Their secondary structure includes four short double-helical elements and three loops (D, anti-codon, and T loops). Further hydrogen bonds mediate the characteristic L-shaped molecular structure. tRNAs have two regions of fundamental functional importance: the anti-codon, which is responsible for specific mRNA codon recognition, and the 3' end, to which the tRNAs corresponding amino acid is attached (by aminoacyl-tRNA synthetases). tRNAs cope with the degeneracy of the genetic code in two manners: having more than one tRNA (with a specific anti-codon) for a particular amino acid; and 'wobble' base-pairing, i.e. permitting non-standard base-pairing at the 3rd anti-codon position.
Source: Rfam by way of RNAcentral